This 337-nucleotide unclassified non-coding RNA is filed under the name soil metagenome. Its description in RNAcentral is "partial contains 5.8S ribosomal RNA, internal transcribed spacer 2, and large subunit ribosomal RNA". The stretch from base 1 to 120 matches the Rfam family "5.8S ribosomal RNA", at positions 35 to 154 of the family's 154-position model. The record is from RNAcentral.
GAUGAAGAACGCAGCGAAAUGCGAUAAGUAGUGUGAAUUGCAGAAUUCAGUGAAUCAUCGAAUCUUUGAACGCACAUUGCGCCCCUUGGUAUUCCAUGGGGCAUGCCUGUUCGAGCGUCAUUUGUACCUUCAAGCUCUGCUUGGUGUUGGGUGUUUGUCUCGCCUCUGCGUGUAGACUCGCCUCAAAAUAAUUGGCAGCCGGCGUAUUGAUUUCGGAGCGCAGUACAUCUCGCGCUUUGCACUCAUAACGACGACGUCCAAAAGUACAUAUUUACACUCUUGACCUCGGAUCAGGUAGGGAUACCCGCUGAACUUAAGCAUAUCAAUAAGCGGAGGA